AAAACGAGCUAAGAUACAAAAAUCAUUAUCAAAUAUUUAUUAUUCAUAAUCAUUGAUUGUCAUAUAUACGUUAAUCAUAUUAGGCAAUUCCGUAGAUUUAUUUAAGGAAAAUGCGAGAAUAUUCUUUUGUACACUAUUUAUCAAUUUAAUAGUUAGUUUAAUAAAAAAUAUAAUAUAAGUUAAGAUGGACCAACCUAUUUUUCUAAGAAUUCUGAAUUUUAUUCUCAUGGUGACAAGUGGCUACAAAAUAAUGUUGUAGUGUUUCUCAAUUAAUAUAUAAGAGAUUACGAAAGAUUUGUUUUAAUUCAAUGUUAAUUAAUUGUGAAGUUAACAAAGAAUUAACUUAUAAAUGUAUACCUUUAAUAAAAUACAAUAAUAAUUAAAUUAAUAUAUUAUAAUAAUUAAAAAUAAAUGUAAAAAUAAGACAGAAAUAAAAUGGAUUUUUUAAUAGAAAUUAUAAAACAAAUAACAAUAUAGAAACUAUUUCAAAUCAACGUCGUUGAAGAACUCUUUCGAACCGCUUUAUCCGUUAUUCGUUCCAGGGCAGCUUGCUCCUCCAAAGUUGGUUGUAUGAUGAUAUUAAUAUUUUUACGUAUAAUCUCUAGAGCUCGAGUAGCUUUCAAGUCCAUCCACAUGUAUGGCAAACAUAAUUUUCAUGGUUUACAACUGUUGGCACGUUGCUUGAUGCUCAAUCCUUAUUGAUGAAAUCUCGUUAUGUGCAUCUGUCAACUCCGUUCAGAGUUGAGCCAGAUCAUCACCUCUACGAACAUAGGAAGAGGUGACCCUAUGAAAUUCGUUGAUUGAUUCCAAUCCAAUUGUCUGUAUUUUUAAAUACAAAAUUAUAUGAAAAUAUUAGUAAUAAUAUCAAUCAAGUUUAAAAGAGAUAUUUGAGUGAUUGUAUACGACUUUGCAAAACUUGUCUAAUUUCGGUAUGGAAAAAGAAUGUGAGUACCAUAUUCAGACUGCUGAGAAAUCUGAGCCUGAUGCUCUUGGAUCCAUGUCAUGGCAUCAUUGUUGUUUUUUUGAUCUAGCAUUAACGAAGGCUCCACUCCAGUUCUUAUGAGUUACCUAGAAAAUAUGGAAAUGGAAGGAAGUUCGCCUUGCUUUUCGGCCUGAAAAUAAAAUUGAUAAACAUCACGGAAAUUUAAACAAGUAUAAAUAUGUAAAUGUAAAUUUCAAAAUAACGAAUACUUACAAUCAGUAAACGGACAUAUGCAGAAAGUGUUUCACCGGAUAUUUGAGGCAUAGGUUUGUGACCACUCGGACCAACCGACAAACGUUAUGUCAAAAUUGACAUCCUCUACAACUAGAAAAAAUUGGUUGGUUGGCAUCAUUUAACAUUUCGUAAAAAAACAAAUUCAUCUAAGUUAGUUUCUUGAACAAUACUUUAUCACUAAAUGUUGACGUUGUGUCAUGAAGGACAUUUGUGACCAUGUCAGGAACUCUAUGAUGCUCUAUAUCUUUGUGAUCCAUCUCAUAACUACCAUGGUAAUGCAAAUUACUGAUCGAUUCUUUAUUAUCAACAUCAUUAAAUUACUAUUAUUACUACUUGCUUCAUUUCCACCCUAACCUUCUCCAUGAUUAAACUAACUACAGUAAUUCAGUGUAAACCUUUUAUUUACUAUAUGGUUCCAAAUUUUAUCAUUACGACUAAAAUUUUGUAUUCUUGCACUUCCGACAAGGACAUAUUAUCUUAACGGUUUUCAAAAUUAUCGGUAUAUUUCCAGUUUGGAACAUGAAAAUCUCUAGCCCAUUGACAAAUUUAUUUGUGACUGUUCCUUCGGAAUCUAUGUGCAUAUACAGUCAUUCUCGCAAAUCAUAUAUACUACCACUUGAAAACAUAUUUCAGUUUUAGAAAAGAACAAUUUUAUUUAGGAGACUUUUUGGUGUGGUUUUCGUUUGUGGUUCUAUAAAUAUCCAUAUUCUCAUAUUUAUAAGAAAUUUUGGAGCUUGUCAGUUACGAUUUUACCAUCGAAUUAAAAACAAAAAUUGCCCAAUUGCCAAUAUAUUUCCAUUUCCCAAUUGCACAUUAGUCAUGUAUUCACCUACUCUAUCCGUUUUUUUAAUAUAAGUCGUUUUAGAGAAAUUUUUAUGUUCGAAAUUAUAUGACGUUUUCGGUUUUCUAUGUAAAAUUUAUUAACACUUAAUGUUAUAUAACCAAUGAUAAUAUAAUUUCUAUUUUAUUAUUGGUUAAUUUGUGGUUAGUAAAUAAUUAAUGAUGUUUUUGUUUAGAAAAUAUAAAAAAUUAAUGAUUUCUUAAUCUAUGUGCACAAUUCUAAAACGACUUAUAUUAAUGAAAUAUUUUCUUUGUUAAUUCUUCAUUACGAAAAUUAUUUUGUUGUUUAUUAACUACAAAUUAUCGACAAAUUAUUUUUUUUGAGUUAGUUCGUCGUAAAACGGUUUCUAAUUAAGGAUAACAUUUUAAUUUGUUAAUUUUUGUCGUUAUGGAUAUGUUUCCCUGUAAUGGGACUGGUAUUGUUUAGUUGGAACACGGAGAUCAUGCUGUGACUUGUGAGGGGUCCAAUUGGAUUAGAGAUUUGUUUUAAGUAAAAGCUAGUUUUAGUAGUUUUUAUUGAGAUUGAUGUGAAAUAAAUAAAUAAUUUUAUUGUGUGCCCUCUCUAGAGUCAUUUGUACUUACUACUUGACUUCUUUGAUUAUUUCUUUUGUAUAAACAACAAAAUCAUAGAACAUAUAGACUUUGUUGAGUUGAUCAAGAUACCAGACAACUAUUGUGCCGCUGAACAAUAUCUUUGUUAUCAAAUACACAUUUUGAAAUUGUCAUUAAAAAUAAUGUUAUUAGAUCUAAUCUUAUUGAAUGGUCAUAUAUUUUUAAUAACCAUAUGUUGAUAUUGAAACAUGUUAAUCUCUUAGCGACCCAUUAAACUCCAGUACAUUUAUUUAUUUUACGAUGCAGAUUUAGUAUAUACAUUUUUCUUGAACCAUUAUAUACCAAAAUGAUCCACAAAGGAAAAAAAAAAAGACUGGCUGAUGGCUAUAAACAUACGAUUUUGGUUGCACCCUUAAUUUACUAUUUUCGGUUUAAUCUUAUAGUACUUUAGCCAUCGUAAAUUAAACUGGAUUAUCACUUUCCAGUUAUUCUCACAUGACCCGAUUAGCUUAGAAUAUUAGAUUAAUGAUAUAAUUUUGUUUAAUUAUAUAAUAAUCUUAGAUUAUCUCCUGUGGUAAAUCUAUUUUUUUUCUUUUUACACCAAAUAUAGAGUAAAAACAAGGGGAAUUGCCACUAAUACCAUUUUUCUAAUACCACUUUUCAACUUUACACUAAUAUCUUGCAUCAAAUGUAGAGAGAUCAAUAGUAGUACACCAAUUAUAGAGUAACAUUGUUUUUUAUUCUAUUAAUAGAAUGAAACUUUUUCUUUAUAAAAUGAUCCUUCAUUUUAAUAUGUUCUCAUUUUACACCAGAAUAAACUUAUAUAAUAUGAUUUACACAUUUAAAUAUAAUCUUUAGUACAUCAUUUGUUUUUAAUGAUGUAUUAUAAUAAAAUUUUAGUUUUAAAAUAAUAUUUUAUUGCGGUAGUACAUUGUUAUAAAAUAAAAUAAAUGGAUAAAACUUUAAUAUUUCGAAAGUUAAAAAUUGUAUCAUAAAUUAAUAUAAUAAAAAUAAUAUAUUUUUAUAUUCUCUUUUUAGAAUAUAAAAUGCAUGUAACCAUUGGACAAAAACUCUUUUUUUUUAGAAUAAUUUAUUUUUGAAGUAGAGAAUAGAGGCUACCAGGUAUUAAAAUAAUAAAACCAUUAAAACCAUAAGAAUAGUGUAAAUUUAAGAAACAAUUUAUGUAACAAACAUAUGAAUAAAAUUUUUUUUUUUCUUCAUGGAGUAGAUAUUAUAUUUUUUUCUAGAUAGGGAUCCGUCGGAAAGUGGUGACAAAAUAUGAUUUACAAUAAUCUAAAAUAAUAAUCUAAAAUGGUUCUUUUCAACAGAUUUCUAACAGUGUGACCCUAAAAAAUAAGCUGUUUUGACCGUCACACCAUUUUCUUUGUUUUUUUUUCAAACUUGCUUAUUCUAUGUUAGCUUUUGAUUUUGACUUUUGAGUUUGUUUUGAUUGUUUUAUUUGCUUCAAUUUUCCGAAAUAGAUUUUCUUAAUUUAUGUAAUAUAUUAGAUUCUUAAUAUGUGAUUAGCCUUCUCCUGAUGGUUCGCUAUGCUUUUUGUACAACUCUUGCCUUACAUUUGGGAUAGACCUAUGAUUUUUUAAACUUUUCCUUACAUCAACAAAAACACGCAAGAGAAGGUGCAGACUAAAAGGAGAUAGACUUGAAUAUGCCAUCUGCACAUAUGCUUAGUGAGAAUCCAAAGGCAAGGUACCACCAGUUUAGUGACAUUCCCAAUCCUUACAUAUAAACAAUAUUCCUUGUUUUUUUUAUAAAAGUAAAUAACUUUUUUGACAUUCAUAGAGGUUAGACGAUAUAUACCCAACAUUAAAGUUCAAAUUUAAAUUUGUAGAAAAUAGACAUAAAUAUUUACCGAGAAGUAAAAAAUAAAGAAGAGCUGACUGGGCAUAGGAGCAUCGAACUGAUUACGGAUAAAAUUACUGGGGGCAUACGAAGCAAAUUGCGUCCGUACCGUCGAUUUUAGAUUCCCCACUAUGAAUUUAAAGGCUACGAAAGAUCACAGUUUUGCCGAUGAUAAAGCACCUCCAAUAAUUAUUAUUAAACAAUUAAAAAGCAAAUUGUUGUUGCUUUUUGAUUUCUAUUGGUAUGUUUGGAGAGGCUGAGUCUCAGGUUUCAUGUGACUUGCAUCAAGCGGCCAAAAUAGAUAAAGAUAUGCGUUGCCUGUGAGCGGUGAGGCUCGUGAUGAAAGUGGCCUUGAAUCAAUAUAUUUGUUAACCAAGGCUUUAGACCAUCUGCAACUCAUUCCGUAUAUUUUCCUAAACUGAAAUAUAGAAUAUUUUUCUUUCAGUUAUAUUUCAGUUAUAUUCUAUUUUUAUAUAAUAGAGUAAAAAUGAAUUUAUUCUAUAAAUAAAACAAUGAUUUUAUCUUUUGUUCAUUACUCUAUUUUCACUUCAGCAUGAACUAGAGUUGAAGUAAAUCCAAUCCAUUAUAAAAUUGUUCUAAUUUUUUUUUUUUAAAUAAAAUUUUACAUUAGAAAUGUUUUAAGUACUCAAAUAUUAGACAUCUGAUAAUAUUUUUUUAAACUCCAAGUCCGACUAAAAAGGCUCUAAACAAACCGUCUAUACAAAGAAUCUUGACGCGUGUUGAUUUGAAUUAGCAGUCUCAUUACAAAUGACUAGGUUGCUAAAGUGUUUUUACGGUAUAUAAAUAAUAGUUGUACGGAAUACAAAGAAUUUUGACGCUUGUGAUUCUACAACUAUAUAAAUUAAUGUUAAUUAAAAUGUUUUUAUAAACAAAAAAAAUUAUAUGCUGUCUUUUUUUAAAAAAUUAUAUAUUUAUACUCUAUAUUAUAUUUAAAUAAGUAUUAUAUGAAUCAAAUAUGAAAAUUAUAUUAAAUUGGUACAUCAACCUAUGUUACUUUAAAAAUACUUUCAUUUAAAUAAAUUAUCCUUCACCAUUAAAAUGAGUUCAAUUUUAAAAACUUUUUAUUGAAAAUAAAAUAAUUAAAAUAAGUUAAACUUUUGUAUCUACAACUAUAUAUUAUUUUCUUAUUUAUUUUGAAACUCCAAAACUAUAUUAUUUAAAAAUGAUUAUUUACAAAUUCUAAUAUUAUAUUCUAACCUUUAGUUCAUGUAAUAUAUACAAAAUAUACUAUUAGAAAAUUUUAAAAUCUUAAUAAAUCAUUAAAGAUGCUAAAUGCAAAGAUAUUUUGACUCUAAAUCUCAUAUUUAUUUUAAUUUUAACAAAAUAUGUUUAGAAAAAUAUUAAAUAUUUCAGUUUAGGAAAUAAUUGUAUAAUUUUUGAAACUUUUCUUGACCAAAUAUACAAGUUUGUAAUUUUCGAAGUCAAAAUGAUAAUACUCCAAAUUUUAUAAAAGAUAAAAUAAUAGAUGUUAAAGUAUAUUGUUUGAAAUGAAACACAAAAAAAAAAAAUUUAAAAAGCAAAAGUAAUAUUAUAUUUUAAAAUAUUAAUAUAAUAACAAAAAUCAGAAAACCUAAAAUCAUAACAUCCAACUAAUAUUCUAUAUCGAUACAAUUUACUAAAAUAAUAUGAUAGAUGCUAUUAUGUAUACAAUUUAAUAAAACAAUUGUUAUAUUAUUUGAACAGGACAAUAUAUUUACUUAUAAAAUGUAGAAAAUAUUAAAAUGAUAGAUAAUAAAGUAUAUAAUUUAAAGCAAAAUAUGGAAAUAUAAAUUAUCCUAUAAAAAUAUCCUUUCUAUAGUAUAAAUAAAUAAAUUCUAAAAUUGUAUUCUAUGAAAAUCUUAGAAAUUAAAAAUAUAUAUUUUGAAUAAUAUUUUCUAUUUGAUUAUUUCAGAUUAUGAAUUUAUUCUACCCUGCUCGAAAAUGUAAUAAAUAUUAAAAACAAAGUAAAACAUAUAAAAAAUCACUCUAUAUUAUUAAUCAUGUUGAAUAAAAAAACUUAAACAAGAAAAUUAAAGAGUUACACAAUAUAUAACACUAAAAUGUAAAUCAUAUAUUUAAAACGUUUAUGAUAAUAUCAAAAAUAUAUAUUUUGAAUAAGAUUCUUUAUUUGAUUAUUUCAGAUUAUGAAUUUAUUCUACUCUGCUCGAAAAUGUAAUAAAUAUUAAAAACAAAGUAAAAUAUAUAAAAAAUCACUCUAUAUUAUUAAUCAUGUUGAAUAAAAAAACUUAAACAAGAAAAUUAAAGAGUUACACAAUAUAUAACACUGAAAUGUAAAUCAUAUAUUUAAAACGUUUAUGAUAAUAUCAAAACUAUACAUUUAUAAAAUGAAAAAAAAUAUCAGCAUGAACUUAUAGGUUAAGUAUUACUUAAAAUGCUUAUCUUUACAAACAAAUUUUUAUCCCUCACUAAUGAUACAAUGGUCACUUUGCUUAUGGAUGAACAACUUCUGUUAUCUCUCAUUUGAUAUCAACGUACAACAUUACUCCUCUUUUCAAUAUUAAAAAAUAAUUAAUUUAUUACUUCUUAUUUUUUUGUGAUACACUGAAUUUUAAACCAAUACAUAACUAGGUUAAGAUUUGCACCUUGCGCGGAAUGAUCAUUCUAUAUAUAAAUUAAUAUUUAUGUAUUAUACAUUAUUUUACAUAUUGUCAAAAAAUAAAUAUAUAUUAAAUAUAUUUACAUAUUGGCAAAAGACCUCAUGCUUUGUGUGAUAUGGUGUUUAGAAUGCACAUACGUCAUGUCGAUUCUUUGGUUGGUUGAGUGGUGUGUCUGGUUGGCCUCUGCUCCGGUUACCAUUUUGGAUAUUUCAUAAGUAUUCCUCCCAAAAAUAUCGACCUUGAAUUGUUCCAUCUCUGGCACAACGUUAACAAAUUUAAGAGGCAUCUUUGGUCGACAAAGCUCUGAUAGUAACUGAAUUCUGCAUCUCAAGUGAUCCUAGCAACCUCCUCCUUCCAAUACACUAUAAGACUGCGAAAAUAGUUGUAACACGUGAUUAUUUAUUAACUUCUUCGCAAUAUGGCCUUAUGCUCUUCUAUUGUUCCAUGUGAGGUAGAAUCGAGAAGAGAACAAUAUUGCACCACAUCUUGAAACUCCCUCAUUAGAGCUCACAGCAUUUGAAGAGUGUUUAUCAAUGUUCAAAGUCUCAUUAAAAUCUCCUACAACCAUCUACAGAUUUUUCCAAAUGAUAGAAGAAUCAUAGUAGUUCCGGAUGUCAGCCCAUAAGUCUAUUCUUUCGUUAACAGUGUUCUUCGCAUAAACAAUUGAGUAGAAAAACUCUUUUCCAAUAGUAGUUCCAGAUGUCAGCCCAUAAACUGAAAAAGACAUAGCUACAGAUAUUCUUACAACUUCCUUCAUUUACUAUUGUUUCUAAUCUAACUCUAAACUGAAAAAAAGAAACUAUUCUUCUUGUUAAAAUGUCUCGAUCACAUUCGAAAACAAAGGUGACAUGAUUAUUUCUUCUUGGUGGUUCUUCUUCUACCAGCUACGCUAGGAGCUAGAUCCUUUGCAUUUGCAGUGUUCGAAUCAAGCCUCUGAGCGUUAAGUUGAACAAAUUGAUAUCAGAACUCAGGCUCAGCUCAGAGGAGGUCGCGAUUGAAGAAUCUAGGGUUUUCUUGGAGGCAAGUGCUGACAGAAUCUAAGGUUGAUAUCAGUAAAUUUACUUUAAAAAUACUAGUAAAUACACAUAUUUUUUGUAGAGAUAUUCUCUUGUGUACUUUGUGUUACUAUUCUUGCUAGUUCUCGCAUUUACACAUAGACUCUCUCUUAUCUAAAUCUACAAAUCUCACAUGAAUAGCUGACAUGCCAAGUUUUAUAAUUUGUAAAACCUAACCUAAUCAUCCAAAGUAAAACGUAACUGAAGCGGUAAGAAGGGAUUGAACUCAAACGAAAAUAUUCAUUAGUAAAUGAUCAUCUUUUAUUAGAAUAUUUAUUUAGUACAACAAGCUCCUUAUCUAUGAAGCAAGUAGUCGAGAUAUGAAGAUGAUCAUGAUGGUGGGAUAAAGUGUUUCAUGCAUCUGCGAGCUUCUUCUUCUGGUUCUGGAAGGAGAGGUUUGGGCGGCGGAAAUAUUGUUUGGCAGGGUUCUUAUUGGUACCGUUAAUAAAGCUUUGGUACCAUUUGCCAGAGUCUUUGAGAUUUCUAUCAUUGAGGUCUGUCCAGUUAACGUAACUAAGUCCGAAUCUAACGGUAAAACCUUUGCAGAAU
Molecule: long non-coding RNA, 8690 nt
Organism: Brassica rapa (field mustard)
Lineage: Eukaryota; Viridiplantae; Streptophyta; Magnoliopsida; Brassicales; Brassicaceae
Source: RefSeq, a predicted model, not a curated record